RNAcentral lists this ribosomal RNA (253 nucleotides) under uncultured bacterium. RNAcentral describes it as "partial 16S ribosomal RNA". It matches the Rfam family "Bacterial small subunit ribosomal RNA", at positions 524 to 776 of the family's 1533-position model. The record is from RNAcentral.
UACGUAGGGGGCAAGCGUUGUCCGGAUUUAUUGGGCGUAAAGAGCGUGUAGGCGGCCAUGUAGGUCCGUUGUGAAAACUCGAGGCUCAACCUCGAGACGCCGAUGGAAACCAUGUGACUAGAGUCCGGAAGAGGAGAGUGGAAUUCCUGGUGUAGCGGUGAAAUGCGCAGAUAUCAGGAAGAACACCCGUGGCUAAGGCGGCUCUCUAGUACGGUACUGACGCUGAGACGCGAAAGCGUGGGGAGCGAACAGG